UCCUGUGUGGCUCAGUUGGUAGAGCAUGGUGUUUGUAACACCAGGGUUGUGGGUUUGAUUCCCACAGGGGAU
Molecule: non-coding RNA, 72 nt
Organism: Salmo salar (Atlantic salmon)
Lineage: Eukaryota; Metazoa; Chordata; Actinopteri; Salmoniformes; Salmonidae
Source: Rfam